Molecule: ribosomal RNA, 457 nt
Filed under: Phrudus sp. CNC 422436
Lineage: Eukaryota; Metazoa; Arthropoda; Insecta; Hymenoptera; Ichneumonidae
Description: partial 28S ribosomal RNA
Source: RNAcentral
CCUGAGAAACCCAAAAGAUCGAAUGGGGAGAUUCAUCGUCAGCGAACCUGGUACGUGUGCGGUUCGUGAUGCCGGGGACUUCGGUCCCGCGGCACUCGUCCGCAUGGUUUUUUAUUACCGGGUCUCGUCGGCGUGCACUUCUCCCCUAGUAGGACGUCGCGACCCGUUGGGUGUCGGUCUACGGCCCGGGCGGGAGCCUGUCAUGUGUCACGCUUCGCGGCGUCAUGUGGCAGACCCCCGGUUGUCCGACCGACUGCCCGGCGGUAUUCGCACGGUAUCGGGCCGCAAUUAUUGCAACUGCGUCCGGCCCGUCGCAAGCGGGGCCAGUGAUACCCGGAUGUACGGACCAAGUGCCGUCACCGGGCCUGGCCAGCUGUUGGUUGACGGUGUCCUGGGACUGGCUCUAUUUUAUUUAUGAUACCGGUCGGCGACGCUACUGCUUUGGGUACUUUCAGGA